UGGGAAAUAUUGCACAAUGGGCGAAAGCCUGAUGCAGCAACGCCGCGUGAGUGAUGACGGCCUUCGGGUUGUAAGGCUCUGUCUUUGGGGACGAUAAUGACGGUACCCAAGGAGGAAGCCACGGCUCACUACGUGCCAGCAGCCUCGGUAAUACGUAGGUGGCAAUCGUUGUCCGGAUUUACUGGGCGUAAAGGGUGCGUAGGCGGACCUUUAAGUGAGAUUUGAAAUCCCCGAGCUUAACUUGGGGGCUGCAUUUCAAACUGGAGGUCUAGAGUGCAGGAGAGGAGAGUGGAAUUCCUAGUGUAGCGGUGUAAUGCGUAGAGAUUAGGAAGAACACCAGUGGCGAAUGCGACUCUCUGGACUGUAACUGACGCUGAGGCACGAAAGCGUGGGGAGCAAACAG
This 403-nucleotide ribosomal RNA is filed under the name uncultured bacterium. Its description in RNAcentral is "bacterial SSU rRNA". It matches the Rfam family "Bacterial small subunit ribosomal RNA", at positions 355 to 775 of the family's 1533-position model. The record is from RNAcentral.